GCACAACACCAAUGUCCCCUUUUCCUGAAGGCCUCCCUCCACCUCCAUGUGUCGUCCACUCAAUCUGAUGAGUUCUUGCACAGCAAACACUCACACCCGCUGGACUCCAGCCACACGUCGGAUGUGCUGAGGUUCGUACUGGAGCAGUACAAUGCCCUCUCCUGGCUGACCUGUGACCCUGGCACACAGGAUAGGCAGUCAUGCCUGCCUGUGCACUUUGUGGUGCUGACACGCUUGUAUAACUUCAUCAUGAAUAUGUUGUGACCUGUGGAGCUGGCCGACCUGCUGGGUGGGAUCCAAAGGGAUUUUACCUGAGAAAUGAUGACCGAGCAAGACUGUGCAAUAUCCUUGUGCAGGGGCAGCCCAUAGUGUCCUGUAGGUGUCUGCGGUAGAUUUCCUAGGAUGAACUGUCAUCUGCUAUGGUGGUCACCAUGGUAAUAGAGGUUGUCCAUCAAUAACCAGUGUAUGUCUGUCUUUUGUAAAUUAUUGACCCUUUGUGAAGACCUGAAUUACACUUGGAUAAAAUUUUAUUCAAAUCAAAACUAUGUAUCUUAUUUAUUGUCAGUUUUAUAAUUAAUUUAAUUUGUCUUCCUCAACCUCUUAAAACAAAUUAUUAAAGGUUUACAUUGCAGUACUAAUUGAAAGCAGACAGUUUGCAAUGGGUGUUACAUUUGCAGUAGAUUGAUUUUUGAGGAUUUUUCUUGUAAAAGAAAAUGAUUUAUAUAGUUACAGUAUACAGAUGGAGUAGAUGGGGGUUAAAUGCUGUUUUUUGAUGGGUUGGGGUCAAACAGCUAAGCUGUCUCUGCAGGGAACUUGUACAGCAAUGUCAUUCACUGUGUUCAAAUAAGAGGUACAUAGUCUAAUAUAUAUAUAUAUAUAUAUAUAUAAGUAUAUAUAUAUAGUAUUUUAUAU
This is a long non-coding RNA of Scleropages formosus (Asian bonytongue), 912 nucleotides long. RefSeq lists it as uncharacterized. The transcript is spliced from 3 exons. Lineage: Eukaryota; Metazoa; Chordata; Actinopteri; Osteoglossiformes; Osteoglossidae. The record is from RefSeq and is a predicted model, not a curated record.